This 68-nucleotide transfer RNA is filed under the name Ictinogomphus sp. MT-2014. RNAcentral describes it as "tRNA-Gln". The record is from RNAcentral. Lineage: Eukaryota; Metazoa; Arthropoda; Insecta; Odonata; Gomphidae.
UAUACUUUGGUGUAGGAUGCACAGAAGUUUUUGAUGCUUUAGGGGCAGUUUAAUUCUGCGAAGUAUAA